RNAcentral lists this ribosomal RNA (440 nucleotides) under uncultured bacterium. RNAcentral's name for it is "partial 16S ribosomal RNA". It matches the Rfam family "Bacterial small subunit ribosomal RNA", at positions 338 to 795 of the family's 1533-position model. The record is from RNAcentral.
CCUACGGGUGGCAGCAGUGGGGAAUAUUGCACAAUGGGGGCAACCCUGAUGCAGCGACGCCGCGUGAGUGAAGAAGUAAUUCGUUAUGUAAAGCUCUAUCAACAGGGAAGAAAAUGACGGUACCUGAGUAAGAAGCCCCGGCUAACUACGUGCCAGCAGCCGCGGUACUACGUAGGGGGCAAGCGUUAUCCGGAUUUACUGGGUGUAAAGGGGGCGUAGACGGGAGGGCAAGUCUGGAGUGAAAGGCGGGGGAUCAACCCUCGGACUGCUCUGGAAACUGUACGGCUGGAGUGCAGGAGAGGUAAGCGGAAUUCCUAGUGUAGCGGUGAAAUGCGUAGAUAUUAGGAGGAACACCAGUGGCGAAGGCGGCUUACUGGACUGUAACUGACGUUGAGGCUCGAAAGCGUGGGGAGCAAACAGGAUUAGAUACCCCGGUAGUC